AGGAUUAACGCUGGCGGCGUGCCUAACACAUGCAAGUCGAACGAGGUAGCAAUACCUAGUGGCAGACGGGUGAGUAACGCGUGGUCAACCUACCGUUGAGUGGGGGAUAACUAGCCGAAAGGUUAGCUAAUACCGCAUACGAGUCUCGGGGGCAUCCCUGGGCCUUAAAAGGAGCAAUCCGCUCGAUGACGGGACCGCGUCCCAUUAGCUAGAUGGUGGGGUAAUGGCCUACCAUGGCUCCGAUGGGUAGCUGGUUUGAGAGAGCGACCAGCCACACUGGGACUGAGAAACGGCCCAGACUCCUACGGGAGGCAGCAGUGAGGAAUUUUCCGCAAUGGGCGAAAGCCUGACGGAGCGACGCCGCGUGUGGGAAGAAGGCCUUCGGGUCGUAAACCACUGUCGAAGGGGACGAUAAUGACGGUACCUUGGAGGAAGCCCGGCUAACUACGUGCCAGCAGCCGC
This 462-nucleotide ribosomal RNA is filed under the name uncultured bacterium. RNAcentral describes it as "SSU rRNA". It matches the Rfam family "Bacterial small subunit ribosomal RNA", at positions 26 to 518 of the family's 1533-position model. The record is from RNAcentral.